RNAcentral lists this ribosomal RNA (301 nucleotides) under uncultured bacterium. Its description in RNAcentral is "partial 16S ribosomal RNA". It matches the Rfam family "Bacterial small subunit ribosomal RNA", at positions 509 to 809 of the family's 1533-position model. The record is from RNAcentral.
CAGUAGCCGCGGUAAUACGUAGGUGGCAAGCGUUGUCCGGAAUUAUUGGGCGUAAAGGGCUCGCAGGCGGUUUCUUAAGUCUGAUGUGAAAGCCCCCGGCUCAACCGGGGAGGGUCAUUGGAAACUGGGAAACUUGAGUGCAGAAGAGGAGAGUGGAAUUCCACGUGUAGCGGUGAAAUGCGUAGAGAUGUGGAGGAACACCAGUGGCGAAGGCGACUCUCUGGUCUGUAACUGACGCUGAGGAGCGAAAGCGUGGAGAGCGAACAGGAUUAGAUACCCGCGUAGUCCCUGUCUCUUAUAA